RNAcentral lists this ribosomal RNA (1031 nucleotides) under uncultured Dechloromonas sp. RNAcentral's name for it is "bacterial SSU rRNA". It matches the Rfam family "Bacterial small subunit ribosomal RNA", at positions 343 to 1357 of the family's 1533-position model. The record is from RNAcentral. Lineage: Bacteria; Pseudomonadati; Pseudomonadota; Betaproteobacteria; Rhodocyclales; Azonexaceae.
GGGAGGCAGCAGUGGGGAAUUUUGGACAAUGGGCGCAAGCCUGAUCCAGCCAUGCCGCGUGAGUGAAGAAGGCCUUCGGGGUUGUAAAGCUCUUUCGGCCGGGAAGAAAAUCGCAUGGGUUAAUACCCUGUGUGGAUGACGGUACCGGAAUAAGAAGCAACCCGGCUAACUACGUGCCAGCAGCCGCGGUAAUACGUAGGGUGCGGAGCGUUAAUCGGAAUUACUGGGCGUAAAGCGUGCGCAGGCGGUUUUGUAAGACAGGCGUGAAAUCCCCGGGCUCAACCUGGGAACUGCGCUUGUGACUGCAAGGCUAGAGUACGGCAGAGGGGGGGUGGAAUUCCACGUGUAGCAGUGAAAUGCGUAGAGAUGUGGAGGAACACCAAUGGCGAAGGCAGCCCCCUGGGUCGAUACUGACGCUCAUGCACGAAAGCGUGGGUAGCAAACAGGAUUAGAUACCCUGGUAGUCCACGCCCUAAACGAUGUCAACUAGGUGUUGGGAGGGUAAAACCUUUUAGUACCGGAGCUAACGCGUGAAGUUGACCGCCUGGGGAGUACGGCCGCAAGGUUAAAACUCAAAGGAAUUGACGGGGACCCGCACAAGCGGUGGAUGAUGUGGAUUAAUUCGAUGCAACGCGAAAAACCUUACCUACCCUUGACAUGUCAGGAAGUCUGGAGAGAUUGAGAUGUGCCCGAAAGGGAACCUGAACACAGGUGCUGCAUGGCUGUCGUCAGCUCGUGUCGAGAAUGUUGGGUUAAGUUCCCGCAACGAGCCGCAACCCUUGGUCGUUAAUUGCCAUCAUUUAGUUGGGCACUUUACGAGACUGCCCGGUGACAAACCGGAGGAAGGUGGGGAGACGUCAAGUCCUCCAUGGCCCUUAUGGGUAGGGCUUCCACACGUCAUACAAGGGUUGGGUACAAAGGGUCGCCAACCCGCGAGGGGGAGCCAAUCCCAGAAAGCCGACCGUAGUCCGGAUUGCAGGCUGCAACUCGCCUGCAUGAAUGGAAUCGCUAGUAAUCGUGGAUCAGCAGUC